AGAAUAACUGGUCGGCGAUAACAAAAGGAUUCUACCCCUUCGUUCCUCCUCCCUUACCACCUCUUCUUUCUUCUUCUUCCCUUUUUGUGUCCUCCCCCCCUUACCCCAAGUUGCUUCUGAAAUCGCGCGACGAAUAAUCGCAGUCUUCGUCCGUUAUGUACAAAACGAAAGAGGAAGGGGAGGAGCGAGCGAGUUUCUUUCCUUUUUUUGUUCCUUGUCUUUUGUCCUCUUCCUUUUUUUUUCUUUUUGUUUCUUGUCUUAAAACGAGAGCACGAUAGAGUUGUUAAGAAGAGUCAAGGACGCACAGCUAAAGAUAGUACGAGAUUGAUAGGAUUAUUAACUAGUGGAGUAAUGAGAUUGGCGGUAACAGUAAAAUGUCUCAGCGUGCGUGAGUCACACGCGUCAGAAUGGUGUCCAACCAUAAAUCAUAUUCCGUUAGGUAAAAAAAAGAAAAAGAAGAAAGGAGAAGCAAAAGAAAA
Molecule: long non-coding RNA, 479 nt
Filed under: Polistes fuscatus (common paper wasp)
Lineage: Eukaryota; Metazoa; Arthropoda; Insecta; Hymenoptera; Vespidae
Description: uncharacterized LOC122526073
Source: RNAcentral